Long non-coding RNA from Musca domestica (house fly), 4273 nucleotides. RefSeq lists it as uncharacterized. Lineage: Eukaryota; Metazoa; Arthropoda; Insecta; Diptera; Muscidae. The transcript has 3 exons. The record is from RefSeq and is a predicted model, not a curated record.
AAGUGUAGGUUAGGCUCAUAAGGGUUAAGCCUAUUGUUUUCAAAGAUGUCCGCAAUAUAUUUAGGGUUGAAAUGAACCAACAACUAAAAAUGUUCCCGAUUUUGUAGCCGUUACAAAGGCCACAAAUAUAAUCCAAAGGACACGAAAUCUCCAUGAAGUUAGAGUUUAGGACAGCGGGUUGAAUGGACCACUAUUUUUGUGUGAAAAAAUACCAUACAAAUAUCGUAGACAAGCAAAUCAUAUAGAUGAGUCUAAAUUUGGAGAUACAGAGGAGCCUCUUGCUUUUGGAGAUGAACGCAAAAUAGUUAGGGGUUCAAAUGAACCAAAAAGAGAAACUAAUUCCUGAUCACACAAUUGAAGCCAAUCGAUACGCCUGAGAAACGCGAUAUCUUCCAAAAUGGAUUUGGACAUAAGGGGGCUUCUAACAUAUUGUAGUGUAUCACAUGGUCGGCCCCGCACGACUUUGUUUACUUGUUUUAUUUAAAAUAGAAUAAAACUGACAUUUUCACCAACUUCUUGUUUCUUUUUGUUUGCCUUUUUUCGCACAAAAAUCACUACAUACUUUGUUUUCGAUAGCAUACUACUUAUCGUGUACAACUUCGAGUGAAAAAAAAUUCGAUAACGACUGCGGUGAUCCGCGUAAACUACAUUACGAUGCUGAAGUACUCGAUUUCGACUGCGGUGAUUUGGCCCCAGAAUGGUCUGUCACAAAAUCUGCCAAGAUAAUUUUUUGCUGGAAGUUUAUUUUGUUUGAGUUUGACCUACAAAAUUUGAAAUCAUAAUAAUUUUUCAAUUAUUUAAUAUUUUUAAAGAAAUUUACAUUUUGUUUUUGAAUUAAUGCACAAAUUAUGCUCCAAUCAGAAUUAUUACACUUUAAAUUGUCGUAUACGAUACAAAAAUAGACGCGGGCAAAAACUCGAGUGGUUGCAUUCAACACUUCCAUGUCAAGUACUCGAUAUCGAACACCGUCAUCCAAAAAUAAGAUUACGAUAUCAUAACUUCUCAAUAUCGUAUGCGAUAAUUAGACCCCAGAUUUCAAUAUAAUUAAGCAAAAAAUUUGUUAGAAAAUUCCAUCACACAUUCCAAAUUUCAUUAAAAUGUGGCGUACACAGCGUGUUUAAUGCAUCAAAUACAUGAAAUCGGCCAAAAAUAUGUAUGGGAGCUAUAUCCAAAUCUGAACCGAUUUCAAUAUAAUUUGGCAUUUUUUUCCAAACACCGUCACGCAUUCCAAAUUUAGACUCUGUGUCUGUAAUCGAUCUGUAGAUAUGUGCAUAUAAAAUCUAAAUUUUUGGGAGGUACCUCCGAUUCUGAUGCUACAUCUCCAGUUCCAAGUGGAAUUUCAAAAAUGUAUAUAGCCUAUGUUACUUUCAGGCGAUGAUGUAGUAUACUUGGAAAUUUUCGGGCAAAUCUGUUCAGCGAUUUUCCAGUCCAUAAAUUACAAACAAACAUACAAACAUUUUCCUCUUUUAUAGAUGUAGCUUAAAAAUUUAAAAAACUAAAAAUUGAACUUCACCGUUCACCGCUAUGGAGUUUAGCCGCACCAGUUUGCUGGACUCAUCAAAUUGUUUUAAUAUGUUGGCAGUUGCGUCUAAGAAAAGAGUGUUUCUGUUUUUUCUUUAUACACUUUGUACAAAUCUAUUACAUUGUGGCUGUCCCUACACAGGUCGGUCAUGUUUUGCUCGAACUUCAACAUUGUAGUAGCACCCUGUGUUAGCAGUUCCUAGUUGUUAACUACAUCCCUCAUCCUAUUACCUACAUCCCUACUUUGGGCAUAUAAUUUUUGAUUCUUCCAAUGGAUUGCUUUUAUAUUAAAAAUUUCUAUUUGACGGUAUCUCUACGUACACCUCUAAUUUGUUGUUUUUUUUUUUAUAAAUGUAAGUCGCCAUUGUUUGUCUUGGGUAGCAAACACGAUUCGAAAACAAUUAACUGUACAAUUGUAUUUGGAACACCCGUAUGUAAAAUGUACACAUUUUGCGUAAAAUUAAAUACUUUUCUUGAAGACUGUUUUUGGAUAAUAGCUAGACACAUUGUUCUAAUAAUUGUGGACGUUUUUCCAUCAUUUUUUCCUAUGGGUUGGAUAGGAGAUGCAAUUUUAAUUGGUAUAUUAUGCAAUUUUUCAAGUAGCGAUUUAGAUAGUGUUUCAGUAUCAAAUAAUAUCCACUGGAUUUAUGAACACGAUUUACCUGACUUAUACACAGUGAAAUUGACAUUAAAAUCGAGUGGAUUUAGUAGUCUAAACGUGCUCUCAUUGUGCCAUGGUAGAAGGUAUAUUACCAUUGACAAUCAAAUGUGUUACUUGACUUUCUUCUGAAAAAAAAAAAUAAACAUUUUAGCUCAUUAGUAUUAAAUUAAUAAAUAAUGUAUUAUUUUUACUUAUUUCUUUAAACCGUCGUUUACACAAGACAAAUUGUAUUUUAUUCUUUUUUUUAUUUUCUUCCUCUCUGUCUAGCUUUUUUUCAAAGACAACCAAUUAAUUAACUUAGUAAAUACUUUCGGGAGAGCGAAAACGAUUUUUCUCUGUUCCAGAACCAGCAACAAUCUACUAGUUCUGCAAUUUUUCGAUAUCGUAAAAGAAAAUUGGUUUUCAUUAUUGCAUGUUCUGGAACAGAGCAAACAUUAAGGGUAACCCGAAAGCAUGUUUUGUAGCUUAUUGAAAAAGCAACAAAACAAACGAACAGGAUUUGCCGAAAAUCUCUUUCCAGUAAACUCUCAGCCAUGGUAGAAUUAAGAAGAGAUGGGAACCGCUUUUAUAGGCAGUGAAAUUUGACAAACAUAAAAUUUCUUUGAUACAAUAGUCCGUCCCGGUGGCGGCAAGGAUGGAUUGUGGAAAGCGCACUAUUGGGAAGAACCUUGCCCUCAAAACCAAAAGCAGGGCCAUCAAUUCACUCAACAGACACCGGAUGAUCUCAGAAUAGCGGUCAUUAAUCAGGCGGCCGUUAAAGCUAUUAAGCCAAGUGCCCUCAUUGAGAAAUACGUGAUUUCAUUAAGCUUUGUUGGGUUCCAGGACAUAGCAAAAUACUGGGAAAUGAAGUGGCUGAUGAAUUAACUCGAGGAGAUUCCCAUUGAUCUAUCGGUUGAUGAAACUGUUAAACCGGUUAAAGCUAUUAUAUCAGCUGCUUCAAAAAAAUCUCUAAUCUGGCCGGUACUCUCGAGAGGAAGAACAAGCUCCCUUCUUUCACUUAGUAGGUCUGGGGCCAAAUCAACGCAUUCGUCAUCGAGUUCUGUUUCGCAUAGAAAAACAUUUCGAUCGCUGUAAAUUUUCGAUCGCAAUUUAUUUUGUCUACUGUUUUUUUUACAUUGCUGUAAACAUAUGGCAAACAGAAAUUGGAAGCGAAAGAGAAUUUCAAAAUAAGUUUUUGCAACCAAAAUAUGUUAUUGCUGAGAAAUUUAUAUUGUUUCUGUGUGUUUAAAUACAUGUGUACAAAUAUAUUAUGAAUGCAAGUGUUUUUUUGUUUUCCUCGUCUUCGAAUUCAAAGCAUGAGUACACAGUGGCAUUAAUAAGGAAAAAUAUUCGUAACAAAUUCAGUCCUUUAACAUUGCCUGAAGUAGUGUAAGUGAUUCUAUUUAAAAUAGAAUAAAACUGACACUUUCACUAACUUCUUGUUUCUUUUUGUUAGCCUUUUUUCCGAACAAAAAUCACUACAUACUUUGUUUUCGAUAGCAUACUACAUACCGUGUACAACUUCGAGUAAAAACAAUUCGAUAACGACUGCGGUGACCCGCGUAAACUACAUUGCGAUGCUGAAGUACUCGAUUUCGAGUGCGGUGAUUUGGCCCCUGGUCUAAGAAUCGCGGAUGGCAUACUGACCUGAAACUGCAGUAUCAGAUAUCUGAUCAAGAUGGCACAACAGACUUCCUGACUACUGUAGACUAUGUGAAGAUGAAGAAGAAAUAGAGACGAUUGGACACCUACUAUGCAGAUGUCUCAUGUUAUUCAACAAGUGACAUCGGCUAUUGGUAGGUGGGAGAUAGAAACACUAAAGUUCAUUUCAAACGUAAAUCCCAUCAUCAGUUUGCCAAAAACUUUUGCUUGUUUUCGAAACACAACUAAAAAAAAUAGUUGACGCCAUUUUUUUCCUCAGAAACCACCCACACUCAACUCAAAUAAGGUAUUCUUGAAAAGAAAAGAAAAAAGGAUAAACACAUACACAUGGAACCAUUAAUAUUUUUGAAUAUCAAUUAAUAAAUGACAACAUGUUUAUUUUUUGUUUUAAGUAUUUUCAUUUUUGUAGGAAUUAAGAUUGUAAGGAAAAUUAAAAGAACAAAAUAUGUA